This 292-nucleotide ribosomal RNA is filed under the name uncultured bacterium. RNAcentral's name for it is "partial 16S ribosomal RNA". It matches the Rfam family "Bacterial small subunit ribosomal RNA", at positions 505 to 796 of the family's 1533-position model. The record is from RNAcentral.
GUGCCAGCAGCCGCGGUAAUACGAAGGGGGCUAGCGUUGUUCGGAAUUACUGGGCGUAAAGCGCACGUAGGCGGAUUUGUAAGUCAGGGGUGAAAUCCCGGGGCUCAACCUCGGAACUGCCUUUGAUACUGCAAGUCUCGAGUCCGAUAGAGGUGAGUGGAAUUCCUAGUGUAGAGGUGAAAUUCGUAGAUAUUAGGAAGAACACCAGUGGCGAAGGCGGCUCACUGGAUCGGUACUGACGCUGAGGUGCGAAAGCGUGGGGAGCAAACAGGAUUAGAUACCCGCGUAGUCC